RNAcentral lists this ribosomal RNA (468 nucleotides) under uncultured bacterium. RNAcentral describes it as "partial 16S ribosomal RNA". It matches the Rfam family "Bacterial small subunit ribosomal RNA", at positions 28 to 507 of the family's 1533-position model. The record is from RNAcentral.
GACGAACGCUGGCGGCGUGCUUAACACAUGCAAGUCGAACGGAAAGGCCCUGCUUUUGUGGGGUGCUCGAGUGGCGAACGGGUGAGUAACACGUGAGUAACCUGCCCUUGACUUUGGGAUAACUUCAGGAAACUGGGGCUAAUACCGGAUAGGAGCUCCUGCUGCAUGGUGGGGGUUGGAAAGUUUCGGCGGUUGGGGAUGGACUCGCGGCUUAUCAGCUUGUUGGUGGGGUAGUGGCUGACCAAGGCUUUGACGGGUAGCCGGCAUGAGAGGGUGAACGGGCACAAUGGGACUGAGAUACGGACCAGACGGCUACGGGAGGCAGCAGUGGGGAAUAUUGCACAAUGGGCGGAAGUCUGAUGUAACAACGCCGCGUGCGGGAUGACGGCCUUCGGGUUGUAAACCGCUUUCGCAUGUGACGAAGCGUGAGUGACGGUAAUGGGUAAAGAAGCACCGGCUAACUACGUG